Long non-coding RNA from Girardinichthys multiradiatus, 2310 nucleotides. RefSeq lists it as uncharacterized. The transcript is spliced from 2 exons. Lineage: Eukaryota; Metazoa; Chordata; Actinopteri; Cyprinodontiformes; Goodeidae. The record is from RefSeq and is a predicted model, not a curated record.
GGCUUUUUUCCCUCUCCAGAGCCAGACAGACACCACAAAACCGAUCAGGCGUGAUGGGAAGUCGCCACCUACGCGGACACAAAGUCAGCAGCUGGGGAAUUUCAAUAAUUAUAGAAACAUUUGACUCUGCGCAACUAAGUGUGGCAGCAAACUUCAAUUCUUGAACACAGUUCGACACCAAGACGCUGGUUGCUCCAUCAGUUUGUCCAAUCAAAGAUGGCUCAUGUGUGGAGAGAGAGGUGGAGGCGGAGCGCCGGCGUGCCUGUCACAGGCUGGAGGCGUUUGUUUUGAUUCUCUGUAUCCAAUGAAAAAGCUUCUCUGUUGUCCUCCAGCCAAUGAGCUGAAAUUAGCUCCAACUCGCUUCCUGUCGGCUUUUCCGCCUUUUCCCUUUCUUCCCAGUAAAUCGUUGUGCAGCUACACAUUUUACAUGUUUUAACCCAUCUUCCAACCCGUCAUCUGACGGGUUCACGCCCCUAUCAAGGCCACGUCACACAACGUGGGAAAGCUUCAGCUCUGCGUUUGCUCCUGGAGGACGUCCUGUUUUCACGUCAUGGCCACCAAAUACUAUCUGCAUCACUUCAGCUUCAUGUUCAGCCGUCCUCCAAAGCAGCAGUUUGUUCAUGGGACUGUUUUUGUGUUGUUUGUUAUUGUAUGUUUGUUUUUCUCUUGCGAUUUUUAUACUAUUAAGAAACUUAACUAAAUAAUAUUUAUUUAUUUACGUACCUAUUUUUAUGGGGUGACAUUAUCUGGUGCUCAAUAUUUAAUUUGCAUUAAAAUGAAGACAAUGGAGAGUUUGGACUAAGGACUAAAGUAUUUUUUUUUUUACAUAAUAAAUUUCACAGAAUUACUUUUAAACAAUAAAAAAAAACCUAACAGGCAUCACCAACAAAAACGAGAUUUUUUAUUUUCCAAUUUAUAUGUUAAACAACCAGUAGAAGGCUGCAAACAGAUUAGACAUUCUUUAUUUCUAUGAUGAUGCUGAUUAUUAUUAUUAUUAUUAUUAUUAUUAUUAUUGUUUUUCUUCUUAUUAUUAACAUUAAAAUAAGGUUUCCCGAAAAUAACUGGUAAUAUGUGAUGCAACGUAUAGUGGUAGCAUAUUUACAUGUUACUGCAAUAAAAACAAAUUUGAUCAUAGAUAAAUAAGGCACAUUUAAAUGGGUAUGGAAGACAAAGGACAGUUUAGGAACGCAUGUUCAUAUUUAAUACAAUACCACUGUAGCUUCAAACCCUUAAAUUACAGCAGUUAUAUAUAUAUAUAUGGCGUGUAGUGUACAGUGUACACACGCUCGUUGGCGCACACACGCUUUGUGACAGAUAUUUGUGACAGUGUAGUCUGCCUAAUGCGCACAUAACGAAUAGAUUAAAUGUUGUUUACACAGAAAAUUAAAACCCACCUUUAAUUAAACUGUUAAUUGAAUGUAGCCUAAUACAACUAGUGAGUAUACGUCAAAGUGUAAGUAUAGUAGUGAAACGGGGGGGGGGGAAUCACGCGAUUCUGUGUCCAGCAGUGUAAAUAUCAAGAUUUUUUACUCGUUUUUCUCAAAUCUCCGUCGGAAAUCCACGGAUUUUUUUUUUUUUUUUUAAUAAACGAGAAAAAUAACAAUAAUCAAUCGUGUUAAAUAUGUCUUGUCUUCACAAACCUAAAGCAGAAGGAGGUGGCGAGGCGGUUGUUUAAUAAAGUACACACGGUUCGUUUAGGUAGGCUUUCUUCUUUCUUUGGCACAACGGAACGUAUUCUUUACGUGUUUUUCAUAUGGUGUACGAGAAUUACAUUUACAGGUUCAUGUGGGCGCUGUAUUUACAUUAAUGCCUUUGGUUAAUUGUAUGAAGCCUAUUUCUUCUAUGCGGGAAAAUGCAUAAGACGAGUAUGUGAAAAUAUAUUUUUAAUAUAAAUUUUAUUUUAAUCUCCAAUGUUGUUUUGGGACUCAUGCCUUCAUAUCUUCGGUCCAGGUAAUUAAAAGAUUUUAUCUUGCUGUCAUGACCUCAGGUCCGUCCAGAAUUUGGAGAGAAAAAAAUUAUUGAAAUAUUCUGCGCCUCACGCCUGGAUCUCUUUGCAGAAUGAUUUGAAAAUUAUACGUGAUCUCUUUUAACAUUUUAGAGGACUUCUCAAUGACUUAGUUGGAGACCAUGCAAGUAGCCUAAUUGUUGUAUUUUUUCCUGUAUAAACCUGCAGUCCUGGCUUUCUUACGCAGAACACUUUUGUAAAACGAAAUUUUAAUCUCUGGAUUUGUUUUCCUGAUUAAAAACUGUUAAAUAAAAACAAUCUAUGCUGUACUUAUUAUGUAAAAAUAAAAAAUAUUGCAACAUUUA